This 253-nucleotide ribosomal RNA is filed under the name uncultured bacterium. Its description in RNAcentral is "partial 16S ribosomal RNA". It matches the Rfam family "Bacterial small subunit ribosomal RNA", at positions 524 to 776 of the family's 1533-position model. The record is from RNAcentral.
UACGUAGGGACCAAGCGUUGUUCGGAUUUACUGGGCGUAAAGGGCGCGUAGGCGGCGUGUUAAGUCAGCUGUGAAAUCUCCAAGCUUAACUUGGAACGGUCAGCUGAUACUGAUGUGCUAGAGUGCAGAAGGGGCAAUCGGAAUUCUUGGUGUAGCGGUGAAAUGCGUAGAUAUCAAGAGGAACACCUGAGGUGAAGGCGGGUUGCUGGGCUGACACUGACGCUGAGGCGCGAAAGCUAGGGUAGCAAACGGG